Molecule: non-coding RNA, 398 nt
Organism: Prunus mume (Japanese apricot)
Lineage: Eukaryota; Viridiplantae; Streptophyta; Magnoliopsida; Rosales; Rosaceae
Source: RefSeq, a predicted model, not a curated record
GAGGCAGAGAUUGAAGAAAAGGCUCCGAAAGUGAAAGCCAAAUCAAAGAUGUCUAAGGCUGAAAAGGAAGCUCGGAAGAAGCAAAAGAUGCAGGCAUUUCAGCAAGCAAAGGCAAAAUCGAAAGGAACAAAGAAUGCCAAGAGAUGGAAUUAAGUGAACCUUUGAGUAUCAUUGAAGAUCUUCCACAUUAAACUAAUUUUAUUUCUUCUAGGAAUAGGAGAUGAAGCGGCCUUUUGUGACCCAGCUAUUCAUGUAUAUAUAUAAAAUAUAUAUAACAGUUGAUAUGUUAAUAGAUUUACAGGUUUUGAUUUAGAACCAAGGCUGCAACACGAAUCAUGUACCUGAAGCUUCUGCGUUUUGUUAAUAAUGGCAAAAGGAUGAGAACAGGUUUGAUUUUA